CCGUUGGUUCUAAAUCUUUAUUAAGGGAACCUGGUUUAUGUUGUAGACCUACUCUACGACUAAAGGUUUGUCUACUGUCAAACAAGUGGUCUAAUAUGGGUUGUUUCUUUCAACUAAUAUAUUUGAAGCCUGACUUUGAAAAGAAAGGACCCCCCCCCAUAAAGAAGAAGAACAACAACAACAAACGCUAACUUUACUAACAACCUUGUUGAUGACUCUGUCAGUCAUGUCACUCCUGGACAUUUCCCAGCGUGUUUGUUCAGAGUGAUCUAUCAGUGCAUAAGCAAACAGCACAUGGAUGCUGGGAACUGCUGGAGUCUUUUCGGUCAAUAAUAAUGAUAUCAUAUGAAUCAUAAAACACUGAGUAAUCCUGUGAAGAUUAUGACAGCAAUAACUCUGGGAAAGUGAAGCUCACGUGUGUGAAUAUGUGUAUUAAAGUGUUACAGUGACAUCAGGACUCACUGACCCGGUCUGUCACACAACAGAGAUUUCUUGCACACAAUCCUUGCUUUAAAUCACUACAUUUGUCUCCACAUACACAUGGUUUGGUUCCGGUUGGAAGCGGACGUCACAUUGCUGACUGUCACUUGUUUACCAGCUUCCGGAUCAGAGCUCAUUCUUUUUCUCAGCUUUGAACGCCUCCACUGUGCCACAAAUUUAAACCCACACCACGUGGAGGUUAUAGAACCUUUUGUGCUCUAAUAAUGGUGAAAUGGAGGGAUGGGCUUGGAGCUGCAGAGGGGAACUGCACAUCCAGAGGUUCCUCUUCUGCUGCUGCAGUUCUGGUGUAAACAAGUCAGGAUUGUAUGUGAAGGAUCCUACUGUGCUGCUCUCUCUCUCUCUCUCUCUCUCUCUCUCUCUCUCUCUCUCGGCAAAAUUUCCUAUGCAUUGGGGCUCACCCUAGUGGUAAAAAAGAAAAUCUUUUUCGCAACAAACAAGGGUGGGAGUACUUGU
Long non-coding RNA from Neoarius graeffei (lesser salmon catfish), 954 nucleotides. RefSeq lists it as uncharacterized. NCBI's taxonomy places the organism in Eukaryota, Metazoa, Chordata, Actinopteri, Siluriformes, Ariidae. The transcript has 3 exons. The record is from RefSeq and is a predicted model, not a curated record.